Molecule: ribosomal RNA, 515 nt
Filed under: uncultured bacterium
Lineage: Bacteria
Description: bacterial SSU rRNA
Rfam family: Bacterial small subunit ribosomal RNA
Source: RNAcentral
AGGGUUUGAUUAUGGCUCAGGACGAACGCUGGCGGCGUGCCUAAUACAUGCAAGUCGAACGCUUCUUUUCCCACCGGAGCUUGCUCCACCGGGAAAAGAGGAGUGGCGAACGGGUGAGUAACACGUGGGUAACCUGCCCAUCAGAAGGGGAUAACACUUGGAAACAGGUGCUAAUACCGUAUAAUAAUCGAAACCGCAUGGUUUCGGUUUGAAAGGCGCUUUACGGUGCCGCUGAUGGAUGGACCCGCGGUGCAUUAGCUAGUUGGUGAGGUAACGGCUCACCAAGGCCACGAUGCAUAGCCGACCUGAGAGGGUGAUCGGCCACAUUGGGACUGAGACACGGCCCAAACUCCUACGGGAGGCAGCAGUAGGGAAUCUUCGGCAAUGGACGAAAGUCUGACCGAGCAACGCCGCGUGAGUGAAGAAGGUUUUCGGAUCGUAAAACUCUGUUGUUAGAGAAGAACAAGGGUGAGAGUAACUGUUCACCCCUUGACGGUAUCUAACCAGAAAGCCAC